CUACGGGCGGCAGCAGGCGCGAAACCUUUACAAUGCACGAAAGUGUGAUAAGGGGAUCCUACGUGCUCAUGAAUUUCAUGGGCUUUUGCCAAGCGUAAAUAGCUUGGAGAAUAAGUGCUGGGUAAGACUGGUGCCAGCCGCCGCGGUAACACCAGCGGCACGAGUGGCAAUCACGAUUAUUGGGCCUAAAGCGUCCGUAGCUGGAUAUGUACAUCCUUUGUGAAAUCGCCGAGCUUAACUCGGCGGCGUGCAGAGGGCACGGCAUAUCUUGGGAAUGGGAGGAGGCAGAGGUAUUUGGGGGGGACCGGUAAAAUGGUAUAAUCCCCUGAGGACCACCGAUGGCGAAGGCAUCUGACCAGAACAUGUCCGACAGUGAGGGACGAAAGCCAGGGGAGCGAACCGGAUUAGAUACCCGGGUAGUC
RNAcentral lists this ribosomal RNA (422 nucleotides) under uncultured archaeon. RNAcentral's name for it is "partial 16S ribosomal RNA". It matches the Rfam family "Archaeal small subunit ribosomal RNA", at positions 323 to 746 of the family's 1478-position model. The record is from RNAcentral.